AUUCCGGUUGAUCCUGCCGGAGGCCAUUGCUAUUGGGAUCCGAUUUAGCCAUGCUAGUUGUACGAGUUUAGACUCGUAGCGAAUAGCUCAGUAACACGUGGCCAAACUACCCUUCGGACCACAAUACCCUCGGGAAACUGAGGCUAAUAGUGGAUCACACACUCACACUGGAAUGUCGAGUGUGUCAAACGCUCCGGCGCCGAAGGAUGUGGCUGCGGCCGAUUAGGUAGACGGUGGGGUAACGGCCCACCGUGCCAAUAAUCGGUACGGGUCAUGAGAGUGAGAACCCGGAGACGGAAUCUGAGACAAGAUUCCGGGCCCUACGGGGCGCAGCAGGCGCGAAACCUUUACACUGCACGCCAGUGCGAUAAGGGGAUCCCAAGUGCGCAGGCAUAGAGCCUGCGCUUUUGUCCACCCUAGGGAGGUGGACGAAUAAGAGCUGGGCAAGACCGGUGCCAGCCGCCGCGGUAAUACCGGCAGCCCGAGUGAUGGCCGAUCUUAUUGGGCCUAAAGCGUCCGUAGCU
Molecule: ribosomal RNA, 524 nt
Filed under: uncultured haloarchaeon
Lineage: Archaea; Methanobacteriati; Methanobacteriota; Halobacteria; Halobacteriales; Halobacteriaceae
Description: bacterial SSU rRNA
Rfam family: Archaeal small subunit ribosomal RNA
Source: RNAcentral